UCAGUAACCACGUAGUCAACAAGCCCCAGAGGACGUGGAUAACCUCGGGAAACUGAGUCUAAACCGCGAUAAGUGAGGAUUUCUGGAAUGGUUCCUGACUAAAAUCUAUAUGGCCUCUGGAUUGGACUGCGGCCGAUCAGGCUCUUGGUGAGGUAAUGGCCCACCAAACCUGUAACCGGUACGGGCUCUGAGAGGAGGAGCCCGGAGAUGGGCACUGAGACAAGGGCCCAGGCCCUAUGGGGCGCAGCAGGCGCGAAACCUCUGCAAUAGGCGAAAGCCUGACAGGGUUACUCUGAGUCACUUUCGCUAAGAAAGUCUUUUGGCACCUCUAAAAAGGGUGCAGAAUAAGGGGUGGGCAAGUCUG
This 364-nucleotide ribosomal RNA is filed under the name unidentified archaeon. RNAcentral describes it as "bacterial SSU rRNA". It matches the Rfam family "Archaeal small subunit ribosomal RNA", at positions 90 to 454 of the family's 1478-position model. The record is from RNAcentral.